Molecule: long non-coding RNA, 1302 nt
Filed under: Fragaria vesca (wild strawberry)
Lineage: Eukaryota; Viridiplantae; Streptophyta; Magnoliopsida; Rosales; Rosaceae
Description: long non-coding RNA (FVES_LNC004134)
Source: RNAcentral
AUUAUGGAUCAUGAUGCCACAAAGAUCAUCGACAAUAUGUAGUCAAUUAAGGUGGUAAGUAAUCCACUUGACUAAUAACUCAACAAGUAGAGUUAUAUGAACGUUUCGAGAAACGCUCCAUGAGUGCAUUCCACAGUACUUUGUGGUCAUUACUUUUUGCAUAGAUUGCCAUUGAAGGCUUUUGUUGAUGUGGCGCGUCAAAGACUUUGAGCGCAUGAGAUGUGAAAUCUCGGCAUUUAGGCUUGUUAGCCUGGGGGUCAAAACAUUUGGUUUAAUCCUUUCCAAUGAAAGGUUCCACAGAUACCAAGUGAAGAUCCGCCUUAGGCAUCUACUACGUCAAAACUCAAAGGAGCAGAAUAUUACAUUGCUCUUGCAUACAAAACCAAGCUGUUAUGAGACUCGAUAGAGGUCACAAACGAUGCUUUUAAUGGUUUGUCCUUCGGAUUGAUCAUACACAAUCCGGAAAAGCCGCGAAUUGAUCAAACACAAUUCGGAAAAAGGCCUCGGAUUGAUCAAACACAAUCCGGUGAAAGGUCGGGGUUGAUCAAACACAACCCGGACAAAGAAACAAGAGUGAUCAAACACACUCUUGACCCGCGAAUAAAAUUUCGGGAUUUGGGUACCUGCACGCACAAAAUCCCAAGCAUAGAAUGGAGAUGGAGAAGGGAGGAAAUGAUUUUAUCCUCCCCGAGUUAUUCAACUUGGAAAAGUUUAAGGUUUCAAAAAACAUACAUUUCUAGAGGCUGCCGAGAGGAGAAAUAACGUUUCGCCUACUUAUACUUCGAAUUUGGGGUUGAAAAUUUGAUAGGAGGAGCAGCUCUGGAUGGGGAAGCUGCUGUCAAAAUUUCAGGUUGAUCGGAGCAAGGGAAGGUGGUGAACCGGUGGUCGGUAGCGGGGGCGGUCUGGAAUCUUCCGGCGGCCGUUUUGGAGACUUUCCGGCCGGUUCUCAGGGUGAGACCGGCGGCGUUGGAUCCGGGACGGAGAGAGCUUUCUGGGGAUAUAAAAUUCCGGUGGAGAACAGUUGGAAUUUUGGUCGGAAAUCUGGAAAAACAAGGCUGCCCGAUUUUAGGGUUUUGGUUUUUAGGGUUUAGAAAAAAAAAUGGUGGGCUAUUGGUUCUAAGGUUAGAACAAAGUGCAUGAUAACGUGAUGAAGGAUUAAUGGUAGAGACAAAGAGAUAGCAAGAGAAUCAUCAUCUUAUUCAUUGAUAGGAGCCCUUUAUAUAGAGAAUUACACAAUACCAAUAUGGUAAGGAUAUGAAUACAUAGAUCUAGUCUAACUACAUAUCCUAUUGGCAUAAGGCC